RNAcentral lists this ribosomal RNA (438 nucleotides) under Triticum aestivum (bread wheat). Its description in RNAcentral is "partial small subunit ribosomal RNA". Lineage: Eukaryota; Viridiplantae; Streptophyta; Magnoliopsida; Poales; Poaceae. The record is from RNAcentral.
AUCCCUCGUUUCCUACCUCAAAGUGGAAACUUGCAAAUUGUUGGCUUUGCUGCUUUAUGCUAGGCAAUUUGGAAUCUCAGGAAUAGAGCUUGCUUUGAAUUUAAACUUGUUAGGUCUCCUGCUGAAUUAAUAUGGCAUGGUGUAUCAUUCAUGAAUUACUGGGCAGCUCUGCAAACUGAUGAAAAUCGAGCAACGGUGGAAUGUGGUGUUGCUACUCUCCAUAGGACCGCACCGGAACAACAUGAUGAUGGGAGAAGGGAUCAGGGUGGUUUUGUCCUGAUGAUCACAGGAGAUGAAACAACGGCAAUGAUGAAGAAGCAAGGAAUGCAAACGAGGCGGUGGAUGAAGACUAAAAAAUAUGGUUGUUCUGCCUUGAAGAUAUCUUAUAUCAAAGAUGUCUGCCUGAUCCGUUUGCACAUUCCUGCUGCUUUGAGAUGA